UGCAGUCGAACGGUGAAAGAGGAGCUUGCUCUUCUGGAUCAGUGGCGAACGGGUGAGUAACACGUGAGCAAUCUGCCCUUGACUCUGGGAUAAGCGUUGGAAACGACGUCUAAUACCGGAUAUGACGCGCGACGGCAUCGUCUGCGCGUGGAAAGAAUUUCGGUCAAGGAUGAGCUCGCGGCCUAUCAGCUAGUUGGUGAGGUAACGGCCCACCAAGGCGACGACGGGUAGCCGGCCUGAGAGGGUGACCGGCCACACUGGGACUGAGACACGGCCCAGACUCCUACGGGAGGCAGCAGUGGGGAAUAUUGCACAAUGGGCGCAAGCCUGAUGCAGCAACGCCGCGUGAGGGACGACGGCCUUCGGGUUGUAAACCUCUUUUAGUAGGGAAGAAGCGAAAGUGACGGUACCUGCAGAAAAAGCACCGGCUAACUACGUGCCAGCAGCCGCGGUAAUACGUAGGGUGCAAGCGUUAUCCGGAAUUAUUGGGCGUAAAGAGCUCGUAGGCGGUUUGUCGCGUCUGCUGUGAAAACUGGAGGCUCAACCUCCAGCCUGCAGUGGGUACGGGCAGACUAGAGUGCGGUAGGGGAGAUUGGAAUUCCUGGUGUAGCGGUGGAAUGCGCAGAUAUCAGGAGGAACACCGAUGGCGAAGGCAGAUCUCUGGGCCGUAACUGACGCUGAGGAGCGAAAGCGUGGGGAGCGAACAGGAUUAGAUACCCUGGUAGUCCACGCCGUAAACGUUGGGAACUAGAUGUAGGGACCAUUCCACGGUUUCUGUGUCGCAGCUAACGCAUUAAGUUCCCCGCCUGGGGAGUACGGCCGCAAGGCUAAAACUCAAAGGAAUUGACGGGGGCCCGCACAAGCGGCGGAGCAUGCGGAUUAAUUCGAUGCAACGCGAAGAACCUUACCAAGGCUUGACAUAUACCGGGAAAGUUCUGGAAACAGUCCCCCCGCAAGGUCGGUAUACAGGUGGUGCAUGGUUGUCGUCAGCUCGUGUCGUGAGAUGUUGGGUUAAGUCCCGCAACGAGCGCAACCCUCGUUCUAUGUUGCCAGCACGUAAUGGUGGGAAC
RNAcentral lists this ribosomal RNA (1070 nucleotides) under Labedella sp. 746G34. Its description in RNAcentral is "bacterial SSU rRNA". It matches the Rfam family "Bacterial small subunit ribosomal RNA", at positions 56 to 1138 of the family's 1533-position model. The record is from RNAcentral. Lineage: Bacteria; Bacillati; Actinomycetota; Actinomycetes; Micrococcales; Microbacteriaceae.